AGUCGAGCGGAAACGAGUUAUCUGAACCUUCGGGGAACGAUAACGGCGUCGAGCGGCGGACGGGUGAGUAAUGCCUAGGAAAUUGCCCUGAUGUGGGGGAUAACCAUUGGAAACGAUGGCUAAUACCGCAUAACGCCUACGGGCCAAAGAGGGGGACCUUCGGGCCUCUCGCGUCAGGAUAUGCCUAGGUGGGAUUAGCUAGUUGGUGAGGUAAGGGCUCACCAAGGCGACGAUCCCUAGCUGGUCUGAGAGGAUGAUCAGCCACACUGGAACUGAGACACGGUCCAGACUCCUACGGGAGGCAGCAGUGGGGAAUAUUGCACAAUGGGCGCAAGCCUGAUGCAGCCAUGCCGCGUGUGUGAAGAAGGCCUUCGGGUUGUAAAGCACUUUCAGUCGUGAGGAAGGUAGUGUAGUUAAUAGCUGCAUUAUUUGACGUUAGCGACAGAAGAAGCACCGGCUAACUCCGUGCCAGCAGCCGCGGUAAUACGGAGGGUGCGAGCGUUAAUCGGAAUUACUGGGCGUAAAGCGCAUGCAGGUGGUUUGUUAAGUCAGAUGUGAAAGCCCGGGGCUCAACCUCGGAAUUGCAUUUGAAACUGGCAGACUAGAGUACUGUAGAGGGGGGUAGAAUUUCAGGUGUAGCGGUGAAAUGCGUAGAGAUCUGAAGGA
Molecule: ribosomal RNA, 666 nt
Filed under: bacterium WP1ISO1
Lineage: Bacteria
Description: bacterial SSU rRNA
Rfam family: Bacterial small subunit ribosomal RNA
Source: RNAcentral